RNAcentral lists this ribosomal RNA (429 nucleotides) under Chloroflexota bacterium. RNAcentral's name for it is "Chloroflexi bacterium partial 16S ribosomal RNA". It matches the Rfam family "Bacterial small subunit ribosomal RNA", at positions 355 to 776 of the family's 1533-position model. The record is from RNAcentral. Lineage: Bacteria; Bacillati; Chloroflexota.
UGGGGAAUAUUGCACAAUGGGCGCAAGCCUGAUGCAGCCAUGCCGCGUGUAUGAAGAAGGCCUUCGGGUUGUAAAGUACUUUCAGCGGGGAGGAAGGGAGUAAAGUUAAUACCUUUACUCAUUGACGUUACCCGCAGAAGAAGCACCGGCUAACUCCGUGCCAGCAGCCGCGGUAAUACGGAGGGUGCAAGCGUUAAUCGGAAUUACUGGGCGUAAAGCGCACGCAGGCGGUUUGUUAAGUCAGAUGUGAAAUCCCCGGGCUAAACCUGGGAACUGCAUCUGAUACUGGCAAGCUUGAGUCUCGUAGAGGGGGGUAGAAUUCCAGGUGUAGCGGUGAAAUGCGUAGAGAUCUGGAGGAAUACCGGUGGCGAAGGCGGCCCCCUGGACGAAGACUGACGCUCAGGUGCGAAAGCGUGGGGAGCAAACAGG